Long non-coding RNA from Cydia amplana, 471 nucleotides. RefSeq lists it as uncharacterized. The transcript is spliced from 2 exons. NCBI's taxonomy places the organism in Eukaryota, Metazoa, Arthropoda, Insecta, Lepidoptera, Tortricidae. The record is from RefSeq and is a predicted model, not a curated record.
UUUAAGGCACUAUCCCUUUCGGCUAUUUAGGGUUGUCAAAAUUCAAGUCAUUAUCUUAUCUGUGGUCGGGCAAAGGGACGGACGUCAAGUUGUGCCAACCCUAAUAAUUGCUCGGAGCAAUGCUGAGCCGAACGGAGCCGAGAAUGGCCGAAAGGAUUAGUUUCGCCCCCCUGACAACGGGUUUAUCCACUUAGUUAUACUAGUUAUAAUUUAUAAAUAACAGAAGCAUCAGAAUUAGUAAUACAUAAUAUAUGUUCAUCACAUCACAAUAUACUAAGUAAAUGGGUGGUUCAACUUUUAAGUGUUGUUUUUUCUUGUGUUGUUUUCUGUCCCGUUUCCCAAGGGACAUGGCUUCUUCUGGAAAUGGCUUUUAACCAAGCCUCGGAACCGGUUUAGAAAGUACCGGUUUAUUUCGGUUUUCCUCCGAACUUUCAUAAGAACGCGAACGUUUUAAGAACUUUAUUGUAACCU